GCUCUUGUUUAUACUGUUAUGACCCUAUUGGCGGCGCAAAAGGGUUAACUAUAGGCUCAGCUGACACACACGUGAAUCACUCAGGUCAGCGGGGCCAUGGACAAGGGACAGUACUACGAUUACACGAUUACACGCAAAUAUGACCAAUGUUAUGGUCAUGUGAUCGAAAGCCUGCGUGUACGACGACACAGUGUGUAGGAAAGCGGCAGUUCAAGACCGGAGAGCGUCGAGACCGGGACUGUUAGUCGGCCAUGAAGUCGGUCCUGGUUGAGUCCUCAUGUGUUGAUGUACAAGUCCAGAAAGAGAGACAGUAGAGUUUUGUACGGUGAUGUACAGAGUGACAUUUUAGUUGUUGAUGUGUUUGAUGCCAAUUGUCUAGUAUUGGCUGUUAUCUACUUAUUCACUCAUUAUUAAAGUACCAGAUUAUUUGGAGCCUUGUUGUCAAGUUCUUGAUGUGUUGUGUUGUGUUUAGCAGUGUUUACAAAAGGCCUGAUUAGGAAGAGAGAUCGUAACAAUACAAAUCAUUUAUAGGUGUAUUAUUUUGAGUAUUCGUUAAUGCUAUUGACAUGAUGUCAGCACAACAUUUGUAUAUGCCCUGAAACAUGUCCCCAUCAGCACAAAGAGGAGUCAUGAACAUUUCAUAGUUUUUUGUGGAUGUACUAUAGAUGUAUACAUCAAUUUAUAGGUUGCAUAUUUCUGUUAUCAAGGCUCUAUAAAAAAGACAAAACAAAAGAAAACCAAACAUCAACAUUAGAAAAGUCAACAUCAACUCACCUGGUCAGCAGUGGAACAUGGAACUGGAUUUGAAUCUAAAAAAAUAGAACAAAGUAAUGUCAACAGUCAACUUGUCCAAAAAUAACCCUAGAUAACUUCUCCCUCAUUUCUGUUGAGUUUAAUGUAUUGAAAUCACUUUUGAAGUGCUUUAGUUUAUAAUGAUUCCAAAAUGGAAUUUCUUUGUUCACACAAUAAUUGUGAGAAAAAGUUGUGCUUAAUCUAGUCCAACAUUUCUUCAUAAAUUUAUGUCUUAUUUUUAUGUAACUGAGAGAGAAUAUUUCUCCGCAUCCUAAUGUUUCAUAAACAAUUUAGUCAUGCAUUAAUAUUUAUAUAUAUAUUUUUAACAGAACUUCUUUUAUCUACAUAAUAUCCAAAUAAUAAUAUACAAAUCUCUAUAGUAUGUGAGUUUUGUUGCUGUUAGCAUUGAAAUGCACUACAGCAUCAGAAUAUAUAAAUAAACCAAGAAACAAAGAAAUGUGUUAUUCUUGUUUGAACUGAUGCAAACAA
Molecule: long non-coding RNA, 1281 nt
Organism: Biomphalaria glabrata
Lineage: Eukaryota; Metazoa; Mollusca; Gastropoda; Planorbidae
Exons: 3
Source: RefSeq, a predicted model, not a curated record